AUUGAACGCUGGCGGCAGGCCUAACACAUGCAAGUCGAGCGGAUGAAGGGAGCUUGCUCCUGGAUUCAGCGGCGGACGGGUGAGUAAUGCCUAGGAAUCUGCCUGGUAGUGGGGGAUAACGUCCGGAAACGGGCGCUAAUACCGCAUACGUCCUGAGGGAGAAAGUGGGGGAUCUUCGGACCUCACGCUAUCAGAUGAGCCUAGGUCGGGUUAGCUAGUUGGUGGGGUAAAGGCCUACCAAGGCGACGAUCCGUAACUGGACUGAGAGGAUGAUCAGUCACACUGGAAGUGAGACACGGUCCAGACUCCUGCGGGAGGCAGCAGUCGGGAAUAUUGGACAAUGGGGGAAAGCCUGAUCCAGCCAUGCCGAGUGUGUGAAGAAGGUCUUCGGAUUGUAAAGCACUCUAAGUUGGGAUGAAGGGCAGUAAGUUAAUACCUUGCUGUUUUGACGUUACCAACAGAAUAAGCACCGGCUAACUUCGUG
RNAcentral lists this ribosomal RNA (484 nucleotides) under uncultured bacterium. RNAcentral describes it as "partial 16S ribosomal RNA". It matches the Rfam family "Bacterial small subunit ribosomal RNA", at positions 30 to 507 of the family's 1533-position model. The record is from RNAcentral.